Molecule: ribosomal RNA, 429 nt
Filed under: uncultured bacterium
Lineage: Bacteria
Description: bacterial SSU rRNA
Rfam family: Bacterial small subunit ribosomal RNA
Source: RNAcentral
UGGGGAAUAUUGCGCAAUGGACGAAAGUCUGACGCAGCGACGCCGCGUGAGGGAUGAAGGUUUUCGGAUCGUAAACCUCUGUCAGAAGGGAAGAAAGCGCAUCCCGCCAAUCAAGGGUGCGUUGACGGUACCUUCAAAGGAAGCGCCGGCUAACUCCGUGCCAGCAGCCGCGGUAAUACGGAGGGCGCAAGCGUUAAUCGGAAUUACUGGGCGUAAAGCGCGCGUAGGCUGUUGUGUAAGUCAGGGGUGAAAGCCCACGGCUCAACCGUGGAAUUGCCUUUGAUACUGCGCGACUUGAAUCCGGGAGAGGGUGGCGGAAUUCCAGGUGUAGGAGUGAAAUCCGUAGAUAUCUGGAGGAACACCAGUGGCGAAGGCGGCCACCUGGACCGGUAUUGACGCUGAGGCGCGAAAGCGUGGGGAGCAAACAGG